UUAGUUGAAGUAAAAUUUAUGUUCAAUUUCGGCUUGAGAGUUUGGUUAUUUAACCCAUCUUUA
This 63-nucleotide transfer RNA is filed under the name Primeuchroeus sp. M48. RNAcentral's name for it is "tRNA-Arg". Lineage: Eukaryota; Metazoa; Arthropoda; Insecta; Hymenoptera; Chrysididae. The record is from RNAcentral.